Molecule: long non-coding RNA, 367 nt
Organism: Tupaia belangeri chinensis (Chinese tree shrew)
Lineage: Eukaryota; Metazoa; Chordata; Mammalia; Scandentia; Tupaiidae
Exons: 3
Source: RefSeq, a predicted model, not a curated record
GGGGCCUGAUACUGUGUGACAUUCUCACCUGACCAGAUGGCACCCUGUCCUGCAUCCAGAGCUAGGGGCCCUCACUAGAUGCUGGCCCCACCACAAUCUUGGACUUCCCAAUCUCCAGAACUGUGAGAAAUCCACUGUGAGACAAGUGCUAUUAAUCAUCCUCUGAAUUUCAAGGAUCAUCUCACAAGUUCAAAGUUGUACAUUUGGUAACAAUCAGGGCAAAACUCAGACCCGUAUCACCUACCUUCAGGUCUUAUGCUUAGCUAAUUACACCACCCGCCCUUCACACUAAAUUGCAAAAUAAAAAACAAAUCCCUGUAUACACCCCAUAUUAAGGGUGCUGUGUAUUUGGUCUGCUCAAUCCAAG